GUGGCUAUAGCUCAGUUGGUAGAGCCUUGGAUUGUGAUUCCAAUGGUCGUGGGUUCGAGCCCCAUUAGCCACCCCA
RNAcentral lists this transfer RNA (76 nucleotides) under Candidatus Profftia tarda. RNAcentral describes it as "tRNA-His". It matches the Rfam family "tRNA". From Rfam's summary of the family: Transfer RNA (tRNA) molecules are approximately 80 nucleotides in length. Lineage: Bacteria; Pseudomonadati; Pseudomonadota; Gammaproteobacteria; Enterobacterales; Enterobacteriaceae. The record is from RNAcentral.